GAGUUCAAUAAAUAUAUAUUACCUUUAGGUGAAGUAGGAUGUCGAGGAACACAUAAGUGAGAAUAUAAGUGCGUGUCAGAUUUCAAAUACUCCCCAACUUUCUGUAUGAAGCUCUUUUUCCUCUGUUUCUUGUUUCCCGUUGUUUCCACUUCUAAAAUCCGAAAUUAAACCCUUCUAUUAACAAUUACAUGCUAAACGGAAAAAAACCCAUUAACAAAAAGCAUUGAAAUUAGAAUAAAUUGACAGUGGUAUAGCAAUUUAACCUGUAGUAGAAGAAGAAGGGACGAUUCUUGAUGCUAGAAAGUUCGUUAAUGGAGGAGAAAUCAAUGGAGCGAACAUUGAAAACGGAGAACGCAGAACCGAAAACAGAGGAAUUGCUUUGACAUGAAGGGGGAAAAGUGUAAAAAAGUUCGUGCCGGUUAGGAUCAUAAUGAACACCUGUCGAAUUGUAACAUCGACAACUUGCUUCUUAACUUGAUUGUACUGGAUGACGCGUCUAAGAACACCUGUUGCAGCUUAUGUUAGAGAUUGGAACGGGGACCACUCAACGACACGCCGCGUAUAAGUUUAUCCUCGUGACGUUUUUAGUUCUGUUCCUCAUGGCUCGUAGUCGUUGGCUUAAUUUAAUAUAUGUGCUACUAUUGGUAAUAUAACUCAGUAGAAUUUGAAAAUUUAUAAAAUUAAUUAAUGCCAAAGAAAAAUAGAAUAAUUGUUGAAUCCGUAA
Molecule: long non-coding RNA, 724 nt
Organism: Jatropha curcas
Lineage: Eukaryota; Viridiplantae; Streptophyta; Magnoliopsida; Malpighiales; Euphorbiaceae
Source: RefSeq, a predicted model, not a curated record